This 4168-nucleotide long non-coding RNA is filed under the name Salmo salar (Atlantic salmon). RNAcentral describes it as "lncRNA (ENSSSAG00000107529.1)". Lineage: Eukaryota; Metazoa; Chordata; Actinopteri; Salmoniformes; Salmonidae. The record is from RNAcentral.
AUAAAACCUAGAGGUCAAACAGGGAAAUGGUUCCAAUCAUUGUUCCACCAGUUCAUUUUUCCCAUAGGGGAUUUUAAAAACACUUAAAAUAAGGGCUGUGUUUUGUGUAGGCUUACCCUGGCGUGAUGUUUUGAUAACCGUGUAAAUCUCUCUCGGACAAGGUGAGGUUUUUAAAUAGAACAUCCACCUGCAUUCUGUCUGGAGGAAAGAAUCCCUACAUGCUGCACAACUACGGCAGCAGGGGUAGAAGCCAGUCAGUCUUCAGUCAGUUCUUUUGGGGGUGACAUGAGUGUCAGACUGAACAACGAAGUCCCUGACAUUCCUGGCCCUGCAGUAUGAAAAGAGAAGAGUCUGAGAAAAUCUUUUGCCAAGUAGGAUCAGCCAUGAGCACAUUCCAAUGUAUCUUAAUAGCGGCAAGCUCACUCAAGCACAGAUAAAGUAUUUUAAAUUAUUUUGAGUAGUAUUUGAACGCAGGUCUAUAAUACAAAAGGUUAUCAUAUUGACCUGGCAUGUCUAACUCAUUGGCAUAUUCAUUAACUGUAGUUCAUUUGCAUUAAACAGCCCAUGAAAUGUCAUUGACAUUGCAUAUUAAUACAUCCAACUCAUUCUUUAAUCACUUCAAACUGUUGAUAUUGUGCUGGGAAGAUUGCUUUAGCUAUUUACAAGAACCUCCAUGAGCUUUGUAAGCAAAAGUCAAAUGAGAAAGUAAAUAUGACUCUGGCUAAGUUUGGCCUUUGCUCACUUGGCUUAAAGUGUGUUGAUCUGGGCCUACGCUGUGUUCCUGACAGUGUGCAAUGCAACGUGUGUAUCCGUCUCUGCGUCCUACAUGGCACCCUAUUCCCCAUAUGGCUCUGGUCGAAAGCUGUGCACUAUAUAGGGAAUAGGGUGCCAUUUGGGACGCAGUUGGUGUGUGAUAGAACGCGAUUCUGUAUUUAGAAGCUCCUGAACCCCAGUGACGCACAUCGACAGGGCUGAGCUUCCACUCACCUUCCACAUAGCGCCUCACGCUCCCACUUAGCAACACCAGUGGGUAUAAAUAACCAACCAGGAACCGCGUUUAGCCUCCCAGCACCACACGCUCUGAUUCUGGAACAAUCAGAAACUCUGGCUCUCAUCACAUUAAGUUUUGUUUUUCACUCCCUCCCUCUCACUCGCUUUCUCUCUCCCUUUUCCUCUCUUUCUCUUUCCUCCUUUAAUAGGUGAUGACACCUUCACUGUCAUCACCUAUUAAAUGGGCGAUGAAAGUUGUUCAGCCAGACAAGAAAAUGUAUAGACCCAACCUACGUCACAUAGGGGAUCGCUGUGUGAUAGCUGGCCCAUGGGUCUAACUGCUUAGCAGGACCUCUAGGGCAGAAUGUUCGACUGAUCUUCAUCGAGAGACAUCAGACAACUUGUCUUCAUCACACCUCCACAGUGGCUCAGGCGUUACAUCGCUACACUGAUCUGAUGAAACCACUUUGACAAGGAUGCCUUCAAAAUGUCUCUCUUAGAAAAUACACUUUUGAUAAGACGUAAUGAUGUGUAUACAAUCAUCCAGAACCCACCGUAUUAUAUUAUUUAACCAAUCAAUGUGUCAAUAGAGGCACAGAGAGAUGGGGUCACCAAUGGUACUGAAACCUUCAAAGGGACAUGACAUAAUGUGUCAUCAAGUUUACACUGUUAUCUGAAAAAGUAUGUUGCUCAAGAUAUACAGUAGGUCAGUUGAAAUAUUUGUCGUCCCCAUCCAACAAAGAGAAUUCUAAACACUAACAUGAGGGGACGUAGUGGCAUUAAAUAGCAGAUAACGUGGGAUACUGCAUGAAGGAGUAAAUAAAAAGUAGUAGUACUGUUUCAAAAACAACAGCAUAACCCUUCAGAAACUGUGUCUGCAUGGACAUGAAAAAAAAAACACUCGAUCAGGCAGCCAUUUGAUCAGGCAGCCAUUUUGAGCAUAGUGCUGAGUCACUUUGUUUAUGUGAGGUCAACUCUGCCAUUCUCUCCUCUGUUUAUUUCUUCCUAGCUUUAAAUCUCUCUAUCCUUCCUUUUCCCCAUUUUAUUUUCUCUCUCUUACUCUCUGCCUCUCUCUCUCUCUUACUCUCUGUCUCUCUCUCUCUCUCUCUCUCUCUGUACUGAAUUUCUAAUCUAAUGAAUUUCUAAUCUACUACCAUAAGAGAGAACAUUGCAUCAUUAACUCUCUGAAUACUGUUGGUCAUUGCCUAGGGUGAAAUCAGAUGACUGAAUUAGAGGAUAAUUAAAUUGAAAUGAAAUGCGAGUAGUAAAUAGUUUUUCCUCACAUCAAGCCGUAUACCACCUUUUUAAGAGAAUUCCUUUCAAGCUAAAGUAAGAUAUUUCCGGCAUCACAGUUGUAUACUACUUUGAGGGGGAUCACUGUAGAAUCCCUGGGUCUACCCUAUGAUGAUGGCUCAGUACCCUGUCACUUCAUCUAAAGAGGAGAGAGGAGGGAUAUAUUAGGUGACUGUGCCAGUAAUGACCUAGAUCAGGGUCCUUCCUUCCUGGGUGCACGUUUUUGUUUUUCCCUAGCACUACAGAGCUGAUUCAUAUAAUCGAAGAUCGAUGAUGAGUUGGUCAUUUAAAUCAGGUGUUUAGUGCUAGGGCAAAAACAUUUAGGAAAUCCAUAACAUAUUGUAUAUUAAGCAAAUUCAUCACAUCGUUGUACAUUUUGCAAAUUGUAACAUUUCAUAUAAAUUGUCAUUCGUAACAUAUCAUAUGAAAUGCGUGAUGGACAUCCACAGAUUAAUACAUACCAUACGAAACGUAACAUAUCACACUAAAUGGAGUGUCACGGAUUUACGUACAGAAUAAUACGAAAUGCUCUGAGACCAGGUGGCUCUGAAUCACUGACUGUUUUAAAGGCUUUGUGAUGACAAUGGGACUGUGCGCCAGCAGCUACUGCUUACACCGACCUCAGUUGGCCAUCCAGAGGGAAAACACUACAGAGGCCUUUUGAGCUGCACGUUGAAGGGAUUUUCUGUCUAAGUACUCACACCCCCUUGUGGCUGUGUUUGAGGACACCGACUGGGUGGUCUCAAUCGUCUAUCUUGCUGUAUUCAGCAAACUGAACAAUCUGAAUCUAACUCUGCAAGGUAAAGGCAAAGUCUGCGGUUUCAUGAAUACUAGCUUUAAGCACCAGCUGUCAGAGCAGCUCAUAGAUCACUGCACCUGUACAUAGCCCACCUGUAAUUAGCCCAUCCAACUACCUCAUCCCCAUACUGUAUUUAUUUAUUUAUCUUGCUCCUUUGCACCCCAGUAUCUCUACUUGUAUACUCAUCUUCUGCACAUCUACCACUCCAGUGUUUAAUUGCUAUAUUGUAAUUAUUUCGCCACUAUGGCCUAUUUAUUGCCUUACCUCCGUUAUCCUACCUCAUUUUCACACACUGUAUAUAUACUUUUUCUACUGUAUUAUUGACUGUAUGCUUGUUUAUUCCAUGUGUAACUGUGUUGUUUGUGUCGCACUGCUAUGCUUUAUCUUGGCUAGGUCGCAGUUGUAAAUGAGAACUUGUUCUCAACUAGCCUACCUGGUUAAAUAAAGGUGAAAUAAAAAUAAAAAAAUGAAGAAGAUCAAACUCUGGGAGAGGAAAUGUGAAAAUGGGGAUAUAACUGGCUUUCUACAGGUGAUGUUGGCAGAGCUCCUCUGAAAUAGUAAGCUCACAUGUAUCCAAACUCAGUGAGUUGAACUCCUCCUUCACAUUGAGAAGCAGUCUGCCAAACUUGACUGGGUGUGUAAUCAUUUCAUGCCUGACAGUGCCAACAACAACAUUCCCACCAGACCGCAGACAAAUCUUCCGUAUGUGUUCUCAAACCGUGUCCUGAAGACGAGGUACUCAGAGACAAGACCGUCACAGUUCUGGUGUGAUGUGGAGAAGGACUAUCCUGAUUUGUGGAAACAUGCACAGAAUGAACUGCUGCCUUUUGGAUCUACGUGCUUACGUAAAGUGACGUUUUCAUCCGUGGCCCUAAUCAAGCUCAAGCACAGGAACAGACUCGACAUGGAGAAAAGCCUGAUCACUGUUGUUGCCACGCUGCCCCUAAGAUUGACAAAGCUUAUGAGUGAGGGACAGGGUCAAGUUUCUCAUUGUUUGUGUCAUACAUAAGUCUACUCUGUAAAUAUGGGUUACAUGUAUUGGGAGUACGUGUAUAAAAUGUGAUCUUUGUUUUUGUAUAAUUUGUC